Molecule: non-coding RNA, 242 nt
Organism: Meleagris gallopavo (turkey)
Lineage: Eukaryota; Metazoa; Chordata; Aves; Galliformes; Phasianidae
Source: RefSeq, a predicted model, not a curated record
GGACGGCCUUCAAGAAGCUGCGGGUGGACGCGGCGCGCAGAUGGAUCGCGGCUCAGCCUGUGGGCGACGGGACGGUUCUCACGGCGCCGAGGAGAAGAGCUGCAGAUGGAGCCCAGCAACCGUCCGUCUGCUGCCAGGAAGCACGGAAUGGGUAAAACACACCGUCAGCUGCACCCCACGUUUGUUCUGCUUUCGGUCACUUAAAACUUGCUCGCUGUUGCCAGUGAGAGUUCUCACGCAAG